CACGUAGGGGGCAAGCGUUGUCCGGAUUUAUUGGGCGUAAAGAGCUCGUAGGUGGUUCGGUAAGUCGGGUGUGAAAUCUCGGGGCUUAACUCCGAAACUGCAUUCGAUACUGCCGUGCUUGAGGACUGGAGAGGAGACUGGAAUUUACGGUGUAGCGGUGAAAUGCGUAGAUAUCGGGAGGAACACCAGUGGCGAAGGCGACUACCUGGCCUGUUCUUGACGCUGAGGCGCGAAAGCUAGGGGAGCAAACGGG
Molecule: ribosomal RNA, 253 nt
Filed under: uncultured bacterium
Lineage: Bacteria
Description: partial 16S ribosomal RNA
Rfam family: Bacterial small subunit ribosomal RNA
Source: RNAcentral